Molecule: non-coding RNA, 296 nt
Filed under: Staphylococcus hyicus
Lineage: Bacteria; Bacillati; Bacillota; Bacilli; Caryophanales; Staphylococcaceae
Description: T-box sequence
Rfam family: T-box leader
About the family: Uncharged tRNA acts as the effector for transcription antitermination of genes in the T-box leader family. T-boxes are found upstream of many aminoacyl-tRNA synthetase genes and some amino acid biosynthetic genes usually in Gram-positive bacteria.
Source: RNAcentral
UUAAACACGAUAAAAAGGAAAGUAGAACUUACACUGCUUUUACAGAGAGUCUUCAUUUGCUGAAAGAAGAUAUUGAAAGAAAGUUUGAAAAUGGCCUUGGAGUGUUGGCAUCAAUAUGAGGUGUCACCGGGUUCGCCCGUUAUAGCGAUACAGUAUUAACAUGUUAUUAAAUGGCGUACUGGAAUUGUACUACUUUUCUAUGUCCCUAUUUUUAAUCAUGGCGUACUGGAAGAGGCUACUUCAGUGAUGACGUAGCAAAUUAAGGUGGUACCACGAACAAAGCUUUCGUCCUUUAU